CAAAUAAGGGCUAAGUUUGGCACAGGUUUGUCCAUGACGUUGAAAAGACGAAAUUUGCACACUUCAAAGCUUUCGUUAAUAUCUCUCCACGCUAACGCGAUUAAAAGGCGUUAACACACAGUGCAAGCACUAAAAAUCUAGUAUAAAACUGUAAAAAACCACAUCCACUGAGAGAACUAACCUCGAAUACAGAUGCGUCGACAACCAAAACAAAGAGCCGCCAUUUUUGGGCCCUAAGCCCUCCAUUGGGGUCAGUGGCCAUACUCUCCUAAUGUAGGUACUCUAGAUUAUUGGAAUGAUAUUUGAUGAUAUGUUAUAGUAAUUUUUGUUGUAUCUGUGCAGGAGGUGGCGGAACGAGGGUUGGGCUGGACCGGGGCCGGGGGGCCAGCUGAACCAUGGAGAAAGAGUCCGGCGACGCCUCCAAGUCGCCUGCCGACGCCGCCGCCGCUGCUGCCUGCCUCGCCAACGCUGGAGCCUUGUUCAGUGGGUUGCAGCAGUAUGAUCCACGACUGCUUCACGCAGCCAGUUCAAUGAUGAGUGGUCAACGAAUGGGAUCCUCUCACUCGCCUCUCAACGCGAUGGGCCUCAACUCAGCUGCCAGUGCCACUUGGUGGUCGAUGGCUUCUCACCUUGCAGCCCAAGAUUAUUUGGCGCGGCUUCAAGCCUCUGGACUUUCCUUUCCUGGCAUGGCGGGCGGUCCUGAUGGUGUUCUUCCUCCUAGUUUUCCAAUUUUAUCACAGCAACAUACGGGUAGGCGAAGUAUGAAAAUUUUUUGAAAAUUCUUUUUACUUUUAAUGUCAAAUAUCUGCAGCCCUUUGCCUGUGAAUGAUUCUUAGUAACGGAAGUUAAC
This 850-nucleotide long non-coding RNA is filed under the name Bemisia tabaci. Its description in RNAcentral is "lncRNA ENSSSA2NGG009090". The record is from RNAcentral. Lineage: Eukaryota; Metazoa; Arthropoda; Insecta; Hemiptera; Aleyrodidae.